Molecule: long non-coding RNA, 271 nt
Filed under: Carica papaya (papaya)
Lineage: Eukaryota; Viridiplantae; Streptophyta; Magnoliopsida; Brassicales; Caricaceae
Description: long non-coding RNA (CPAP_LNC012402)
Source: RNAcentral
UCUACAUUUGAGGGUGUUGGAAUUGGGUGAGCUCCAAUACUUAGUAAGAAAGGCAAUAUUAAAGGCAUACAAACAUGCUUUGAAAACAUUUCCUUAAUGCAGAUUUAAAAAAAAAUAGUGAUAAAAGCAAAUAAUCAAGAAACAAUGAUAAGAUACUACUUAAUCAGCAUAAUAACAAUUUAACCAUCAAUGGUACUCAACACCGUAUUGAAUGCAUUCACAUAAUUCACACACAUACAUCUAGGACUAGACACAUCUUCUAACUUAAUUU